Molecule: transfer RNA, 72 nt
Filed under: Ictidomys tridecemlineatus (thirteen-lined ground squirrel)
Lineage: Eukaryota; Metazoa; Chordata; Mammalia; Rodentia; Sciuridae
Description: Spermophilus tridecemlineatus (thirteen-lined ground squirrel) tRNA
Rfam family: tRNA
About the family: Transfer RNA (tRNA) molecules are approximately 80 nucleotides in length. Their secondary structure includes four short double-helical elements and three loops (D, anti-codon, and T loops).
Source: Rfam by way of RNAcentral
GGGGGUGUAGCUCAGUGGUAGAGCAUAUGCCUAGCAUGCACAAAGCCCUGGACUCAAUCCCCAGUACCACUC